CACACACUUUCGCUGAAUUCCUUUAAGGAAGCGGGGGAACCAAUUAUUUGGGGUGAAUCCUAUUUUAUAAUAGGUAGGGCCAUUCUCUUUCGGCCCGAAUCCGUCAGCUAACCUCGUAAGCGUGGGAAGAGGAGGU
This 136-nucleotide small RNA is filed under the name Lutispora thermophila. RNAcentral describes it as "c-di-AMP sequence". It matches the Rfam family "c-di-AMP riboswitch aptamer (ydaO/yuaA leader)". From Rfam's summary of the family: This family represents a conserved RNA structure found upstream of the ydaO and yuaA genes in Bacillus subtilis and related genes in other bacteria. The ydaO/yuaA element is thought to act as a genetic "off" switch for the ydaO and yuaA genes in its native state. Lineage: Bacteria; Bacillati; Bacillota; Clostridia; Lutisporales; Lutisporaceae. The record is from RNAcentral. RNAcentral also lists the same sequence under 1 other name.